The sequence is a ribosomal RNA, 500 nucleotides long. It matches the Rfam family "Bacterial large subunit ribosomal RNA", at positions 1817 to 2597 of the family's 2925-position model.
CGCCUCUUGCAUAUAUUAUAAGAGGUCUUGCCUGCCCAGUGACGCAAGUUUAACGGCCGCGGUAUUUUGACCGUGCAAAGGUAGCGUAAUCAAUCGUCUUUUAAAUGAAGACCUGUAUGAAUGGUAAAACGAAAACUCAACUGUCUCAUUCUUUCAGCCAAUGAAAUUGAUCUCUCCGUGCAGAAGCGGGGAUAUACACAUAAGACAAGAAGACCCUGUGGAGCUUUAGAUCUCUACUUACAUCUUAGAUUGGGGCGAUCACGGAGAAAACAGACCCUCCACGAAGAAAAACAUAGUCAAGAGUUACAGCUCCAAACACUAAUACAUUUAAUUCUAUGAACCGGCCUACCGAUUAACGAACCUAGUUACCCCAGGGAUAACAGCGCAAUCCCCUUAAAGAGCACUUAUCACUAAGGGGGUUUACGACCUCGAUGUUGGAUCAGGACAUCCUAAUGGCGCACCAACUAUUAAGGGUUCGUUUGUUCAACGAUUAAAGUCCU